AACGUAGGAGACAAACGUUAUCCGGAGUUACUGGGCGUAAAGGGCGUGUAGGUGGUUUUGUAAGUCUGGCGUGAAAUUUUUCGGCUUAACCGGGAAAGGUCGUCGGAUACUGCAAGGCUAGAGGACGGUAGAGGCGUGUGGAAUUCCGGGUGUAGUGGUGAAAUGCGUAGAGAUCCGGAGGAACGCCAGUGGCGAAGGCGACACGCUGGGCCGUACCUGACACUGAUGCGCGACAGCAUGGGGAGCAAACAGG
RNAcentral lists this ribosomal RNA (253 nucleotides) under uncultured bacterium. RNAcentral's name for it is "partial 16S ribosomal RNA". It matches the Rfam family "Bacterial small subunit ribosomal RNA", at positions 524 to 776 of the family's 1533-position model. The record is from RNAcentral.